RNAcentral lists this ribosomal RNA (639 nucleotides) under Triticum aestivum (bread wheat). RNAcentral's name for it is "partial small subunit ribosomal RNA". Lineage: Eukaryota; Viridiplantae; Streptophyta; Magnoliopsida; Poales; Poaceae. The record is from RNAcentral.
AUGUCUGAGAGAAAUGCAACAUCGGCAUUGCAGGAGGAGAAUGUCCUUAAGAGAAAGUCAGAUGAUGUGGGAUGGGACUAUGGGAGUCUAGCUGAUGCUUCCAACAAGGAUAAAGUGAAGUGUAUUUUCUGUAACCAUGUGAGCACUGGAGGUGUUUAUCGUCACAAGCAGCAUGUGGCUCAUGUUGGUAAUGUUGUGGUCAAAUGUAAAAAAAGCUCGCAGGAAGCUAAAGAUAGGUGCAAGAAAUCUCUUGAAGAGGCAUCUAAUAAGAGGCGGGAAAAGACUGCCCAUGAGAAAGAGCUCAGACAAACUGUGAACAUUUCUCGCAUUGGAGAUGACGAAGCCGCUUGUAUCAGAAGUGCGGAGCCACACAAGUUAGGUCCCAUUGACAAGUGGACACGGCCUAUUGAUCCUAAACUGACUCAAGCUGAAGCCUUGCAUCAACAGAAGAUAAACAAGGAACUUUGGAAAAAGAGAACACAUGAAGUGCAGCAGUAUGUGGCUAGAUGGGUGUACAAUCAUGCUAUACCAUUCAAUGCUUGUGACAAUGAUGAUUUCAAGUUAAUGUGCGAAGCCAUUGGGAACUUUGGCCCUGGAUUUGAGCCUCCUCUAAACAUGAUCUUCGAGAGACUUUGUUGA